Vulpes vulpes (red fox) is the source of this 85-nucleotide ribosomal RNA. Lineage: Eukaryota; Metazoa; Chordata; Mammalia; Carnivora; Canidae. The record is from Ensembl.
GUCUAUGACCAUACCAACCUGAAUGCAUCCAAUCUCAUCUGAUCUCAAAAGCUAAGCAGAAUUGGGCUUGGUUAGUACUUAGAUG